This 254-nucleotide ribosomal RNA is filed under the name uncultured bacterium. Its description in RNAcentral is "partial 16S ribosomal RNA". It matches the Rfam family "Bacterial small subunit ribosomal RNA", at positions 524 to 776 of the family's 1533-position model. The record is from RNAcentral.
UACGUAGGGUGCGAGCGUUGUCCGGAAUUAUUGGGCGUAAAGAGCUCGUAGGCGGUGUGUCACGUCGGCCGUGAAAACCUGCAGCUUAACCGUGGGCGUGCGGUCGAUACGGGCAUCACUGGAGUUCGGCAGGGGAGACUGGAAUUCCUGGUGUAGCGGUGAAAUGCGCAGAUAUCAGGAGGAACACCGGUGGCGAAGGCGGGUCUCUGGGCCGAUACUGACGCUGAGGAGCGAAAGCGUGGGGAGCAAACAGG